UGCUCAACAAGAUGGAAGCUGCGA
Molecule: non-coding RNA, 24 nt
Filed under: Arabidopsis thaliana (thale cress)
Lineage: Eukaryota; Viridiplantae; Streptophyta; Magnoliopsida; Brassicales; Brassicaceae
Source: RNAcentral